UUACAAGUGUAAAUCACAACUAGCUUGCUUUUGAUUUUACAGUUUCAUAGGCAGAAUGAACUUGCCUUGUUUCAGCUGAGACUUUGGGCUUGGAAUUUUGAGUUAAUUUUGGAAUGAGUUAAGACUUUGGAGGACUGCUAGAAAGA
Long non-coding RNA from Sapajus apella (tufted capuchin), 146 nucleotides. RefSeq lists it as uncharacterized. The transcript has 3 exons. NCBI's taxonomy places the organism in Eukaryota, Metazoa, Chordata, Mammalia, Primates, Cebidae. The record is from RefSeq and is a predicted model, not a curated record.